This 103-nucleotide small nuclear RNA is filed under the name Carlito syrichta (Philippine tarsier). Lineage: Eukaryota; Metazoa; Chordata; Mammalia; Primates; Tarsiidae. The record is from RNAcentral.
UCAUUUCAGUAGUGCAUAUACUAAAAUUGGAACAAUACAAAGUAGAUUAGCAUGGCCCCCAUACAUGGAUGACACGCAAGUUUGUGAAGCAUUUAAAAAAUAA